Molecule: ribosomal RNA, 339 nt
Filed under: Triticum aestivum (bread wheat)
Lineage: Eukaryota; Viridiplantae; Streptophyta; Magnoliopsida; Poales; Poaceae
Description: partial small subunit ribosomal RNA
Source: RNAcentral
AUGGGCGCUGGCUUGUAUGGCUAUAUAGAUCAAAUCCUAGAGGAGCCUCCCAAAACCAUCACCACAAAAGAUAAAGAGGGCAAGGACCAGGUGAUCCCGAGCCCUGCCUAUGCCCCAUGGCUCGUCCAGGAUCAGCAAAUCAUCGUGUACCUCCUUUGCAAUCUCUCCAAAGAGGUGCUCGUUCAAGUCGCAUCGAUGGAAACCUCGCAUGCCAUCUGGACGAUGUUGAGCACCAUGUUCUCAGCCGUCUCCCUCUCACGCGUCAACAACAUCCGUGCCUCCCUCACCAACGCACAGAAGGGCAACCAGUCGGCAGCAGCAUACUUUGGCGCCAUGCGU